GAUGAACGCUGGCGGCGUGCCUAAUACAUGCAAGUCGAGCGAACAGACGAGGAGCUUGCUCCUCUGACGUUAGCGGCGGACGGGUGAGUAACACGUGGAUAACCUACCUAUAAGACUGGGAUAACUUCGGGAAACCGGAGCUAAUACCGGAUAAUAUAUUGAACCGCAUGGUUCAAUAGUGAAAGACGGUUUUGCUGUCACUUAUAGAUGGAUCCGCGCCGCAUUAGCUAGUUGGUAAGGUAACGGCUUACCAAGGCAACGAUGCGUAGCCGACCUCAGAGGGUGAUCGGCCACACUGGAACUGAGACACGGUCCAGACUCCUACGGGAGGCAGCAGUAGGGAAUCUUCCGCAAUGGGCGAAAGCUUGACGGAGCAACGCCGCGUGAGUGAUGAAGGUCUUCGGAUCGUAAAACUCUGUUAUUAGGGAAGAACAAAUGUGUAAGUAACUAUGCACGUCUUGACGGUACCUAAUGAGAAAGCCACGGCUAACUACGUG
RNAcentral lists this ribosomal RNA (497 nucleotides) under uncultured bacterium. Its description in RNAcentral is "partial 16S ribosomal RNA". It matches the Rfam family "Bacterial small subunit ribosomal RNA", at positions 28 to 507 of the family's 1533-position model. The record is from RNAcentral.